CAAUUUUGAUGGACUGAAAUAACAACAUCCGGUUGGCAAAUUAUUGUAUUUUGGAUUUGCAGAGACAUACUCUUGAUUUCAGUGUUACCAUGUUUUACUGAUCGGUGAUUUGUUGGGGUUUGAAUCGCAGUACUAUUACACAAUUUGUAUCUAAGAGUUGACCUUUGAACAUCAUUGGAAGGGUAAAUAAAUCCAUGCUCACGGAACAAGGCGAAAAUGGAAAAAGAUAAGGAACAGACAGUUUAUAUCAUAAAUCAAGGCGAUGGAAUGGACUCUGUACAAGUCUGGCAGGCAUAUACCAUGUGUGCAAUUAGCAUCAUGUUAAUGCUGGCAAUGAGAUCAGUUGUGACAAAGUUUGGGAAACCGAAAACUUUAAAAGAUGGAGUGUCCUUUUGGAAAUGGAGAAAUAUUCUUAUAUCAUGGAUACAUGCUGUCAUUGUUGGUACUUGGGACUUCAUGUGGCAAGUAUAAAUCUUCAUAUAGAAAAUCGUGCUGAAAUGUUUAACACUGUAAAUUCAAGUAAAAUGCUUUUUUCUUGAUUAAAGGUGUAUGGAUCUUUCUUGAAUUGCACCACAAGUUUCUAUACCACGAAAGGAAGGUUGGGGUUGAUUUUAGAGGUAUUAAGUUUUCCUCAAGUGAGUUUAGUAGAUACUGCAUUUGCCAUAUCAAAAUCAACUAUGUUUGAUACAUGUAAUGAGUAUAAGUCACUGUAAGCUGUGCAUGGAUGUCUAACCGUGUCCAUCUGACCUUGAUGUCAUUUCUAUGUUCAUUGAUAAUGUGAAGUUUAUGUAAUGCUUGUAGUAUUUUAUCUUAAGGACUAUCAGCCAUGGUUUGUAAAGCAGGCGGGACAUUUCUACUUUCCGCUAUAUAGAUGACGUUCUUUCACUAAACAAUUCAAAAUUUGGUGACUAUGUGGAUCGCAUCUACCCCAUCGAAUUGGAGAUAAAGGAUACUACAGAUACAGUUAAGUCGGCUUCAUAUCUUGACUUACAUCUAGAAAUUGACAAUGAGGGUCGGUUGAAGACAAAACUUUACGACAAAAGAGAUGAUUUCAGCUUUCCAACUGUGAACUUUCCAUUUCUAAGUAGCAACAUUCCAUCAGCACCUGCAUACGGGGUAUAUAUCUCCCAAUUGAUACGAUAUUCCCGUCCUUGCUUUUCCUAUCAUGAUUUUCUUGAUAGAGGGUUACUGCUCACAAGGAAGCUAUUAAACCAAGAGUUCCAAAUGGUGAAGUUGAAAUCAUCCCUUCGUAAAUUUUACGGACGCCAUCACGAGUUGGUUGACCGUUAUGGAAUAACCGUUUCACAAAUGAUAUCGGAUAUGUUCCUUACGUCGUAACUACAAUCCCCUUCCCUUUCAUGAAUUUGACCUACCGAAUUAAGACUAUUUACCGGAUUUGUAAUCACAUAAGCAACACGACGGGUGCCGCAUGUGGAGCAGGAUCUGCUUACCCUUCCGGAGCACCUGAGAUCACCCCUAGUUUUUGGUGGGGUUCGUGUUGUUUAUUCUUUAGUUUUCUAUGUUGUGUCAUGUGUACAAUUGUUUUUCUGUUUGUCUUUUUCAUUUUUAGCCAUGGCGUUGUCAGUUUGUUUUAGAUUUACGAGUUUGACUCUCCCUUUGGUAUCUUUCGUCCCUCUUUUCAACAUGUGCACUCUUGUUAUGAUUAUACCCCAAAAUCCAAACCGAACCUUGUUAUUCUACCCUGGUGUUCAGUCGAAGGCCAAUUUGAAACAUAUUUUGUAGUAAUACUAAUUGGUUAUAUUUUGUUCGAGAAAUCAGGAAUUUGUUAAGCAACACCACUUCAUGAUUCCAGAUCAUUCCAUUUACAGAAUUAUAAUAGAGCAGUUCCAGUAGAACAUUAUUUUGCUAGUCCAGAUACUAUAUGAAAAGAAAACUCACAAAAAUACCGAACUCACAGGAAAAUUCAAAACGAAAAGUCUGUAAUCAAAUUCCAAAACCGAAAGCCCAAAACACAUCAAACACAUCAAACGAAUGGAAAAUAACUGUCACAUUCCUGACUUGGUACAGACAUUUUUGUAUGUAGAAAAUGGUGGAUUAAACUUGUUUUAUAACAUUCAGUAUUUAUUUUUGUUUCGUAUUUUGUGUUUUUCUUGUCAUUAUUACUGUUCGUUUUCUUUCUCAUUCGUUGAAAAGGUUGGUCCGGUGUGUCUGUAUGAAAUAAGUUUACCUUGUGUUUUCUUUCUUAUUCUGAACCACUGUUAUAUUUCAGUCGUUUCGUGUCUAUUGUACGGAAUUGCAUGAAUUGCUUGAAUUGCUUUAUGAUAAAACGAUAGUGAAAGGACGAUAUAUUGAUUAUCUAUUAUUUAUGUUUUCUAUACCAUUUUAAUGACUAAUUGAUAAAUGUAAAGAAUUAAUUAAAUUACAUUGAAAUUAAUUAUUUUUUGUGUGCAUACAACCACCGUUCUUAUAGGAAUAUGAUAUAAGUGGACCAAAUCAAUUGCAAAGUUUCCCAACAUGUUAUGCCAUAUUUACAUGUCUAUGUUUCUGUAUUUAAGAAUUUUAUGUUUUUUCUUUCCAGUUUAUGGUGGUAUCCUGAUCUCUUCCAGGAUCCAGUGUUUUAUAUUAACAACAUAAUGUACCUAAUGGUGCCGUUUUCUAUCGGUAUUUAUUCUUUUUCCUUAAGUUUAAAGAUAGCAUUGAACAUUAGGUGAUUUUUUAAAGUUAUUUUCACAGGCACUUUUCUCCAAAAAUUUCAUAUAUUAUAUAACACAAAAGGUAUGUAGGAUUUUGUUAUGAGGCGAGUGCCUGAAGUUAUUUACUAAUAUUUUGUACUCCCCUUCUGUUAAAAUUACACUCAAAUGGACGUGUUAAAAUUCUUCCGAGUUCGAGCUUUAUUGGAUCAUUUUAUCAAAUGAUUGUUUAUUUUUGUUUCUUCUUCCGACCAGUAGUAAAACGCUUGUCAUAGUGGGGCCCCGUUUAAAUAGAAUGCCACGCUCUUGUACGUUAAGAACCCUUGUAACAACUCUUUGAGGGGUCCGUAGAUGGCCUGUUGCAAGGCUAAAUUUCGGUCCCUAUCCAAUAUACCCUAAUUUUCCAGUGGUAGUCUAAAUUACUUCAACCAUCAUCCCGGAUUGCCUCUCACAAGACUACAUAUUGUAUUUUUUGUUAACUUGUUCUCGUUCUAAACAUGCAUUCAAUAUUUGCCACUGGACGUUAAGCAACCAACAAUCAAUUAGUCAUAUUACCUGCACAUUUAAACAGACAAAAAGAGAUACUUCGGCUUAUUUCAAUACCUUGUGAUACAAUCGGAACCUUUAGUUUAAGCUCUUUUCUCAAUCAAAAGUUAAUCUGUAUCCAGGAAGUCUUAAUGAUACAUUAUUAACAGGCCCCAGUUUUUGAAAUCGUUUUGUCUUACACUUAACAAUAUUUGAAUUUUUUUAUUUUUUUGGAAGAAAAAUUACGAAAAUGCUACCAAAGCAAGAGUAAGCCAUGCAUUAUUUAUAAAACAAAUUAUCACAGAAAUGUACGAGUCUUUCUUUUUAAUAAUUUUAUUCUGAUAUCUUUCAUGACAAACAUAAAGAAGUUCUUUGUAACGUAUUUUUAACAUGAUGAUAUAAUACAAUAGUAAGUUUCUAUAAAAAGAACAAUCACAAAAAUACCGAAAUCCUAGGAGAAUCAAAACGUAAAGUCCCUAAUCAAAGUGUAUAAUCAAAAGCUCAGACACCAAACGAAUGGAUGACAACUGUCAUAUUCCUGACUUGGUACAGGCGUUUUCUAAUGUAGAAAAUGGUGGAUUAAAACUGGGUUUAUAGCUAUCUAAACCUCUCAAUUGUAUGACAGUCUCAUAAAAUUCCAUUAUUAUAUUGACAAAGAUGUGAGAACUAAAGAUACAGAAAUGUCAAAAUAGGGGUACAACAGUCAACAUUGUGUUAUAAUCUUGAUCACUAUAAAAAACAUACAAAUAUUUAUCAAAGAAAAACAAAAUAGCUUAUUAGAGACAAAGCACAUAAGUAAAAAUGAAAGACAAAAAUACCAUAGCACAAUAACACAAUGACGGGAUACAUUUUUAUUUUUUGAAUUAACUUUUAGACUUUCAGACUUGCAAUCUUUAAAGCAGUCAUCACUUAUAUUUUAUUGAACAUUUCAGGCUAUUUUCUUUAUGAUCUUUAUGAUAUGAUGACAAAUGAACAAAAAUUCAUUGACUGGGAAAUUGUUCUACACCAUGUACUUCUUAGUACCGUGAUGAUCUAUUCAUGGACUAACAAGUUGUGUAUUGCUUACAGUGUAAUACUACUUACAUCGGAAAUAAACAGUAUUUUCCUUCAUCUACGAAAACUUCUACAGUUCACAAAGGUCAACUUCAAUUCUUGGCUCUAUCAGUUAGUAGCUAUGCUGAACCUGUUUACGUUUAUAACUUGUCGUCUGUUCCCUCAAAGUCGUCUGAUGUUUGGAUUCUACACAGAUGGACAUCGUAUCUCAAAAGGCUACUUUAUUCUCUUAUUGUUAACAUAUCCAAUUGGGUUUGUUAUAAAUAUAGUUUUGUUUUGGAGAAUACUUAAAUCAGAUGUGUUGAGACGAUUGAAAGGAAAUGAUAAAUUACUGAAUAAGAUGGAGUAGAAAUGCAUUGUGCAAAUACAACACCCUCCACGUAAGGUAAUAAAACUUUCUAGUCGCAGUGUGAUUUUGUAAUAAUAAUAGUAAACAUUACCAACAAGGUCAAUAUUUACCAAUCGAGGAAAAUAUGAUAAUUUGCAUUAAGAUACGUAUAGACAUAACAUGACAUAACAUGAUUUUAUUUGUUGGAUUAAUGAUGGAUUGUUUGAUUUUUAUAUGCCAGUUUACGGGACGUAUUGUGAUAUACCGUUGUCCGUCCGUCCUUCAUCAAAAUUGUCUAACAUUCACUCAAAAUUUCAUUUUUCUUAUAAAUUUCAGAUUUUAUGUUUCUUAGUUAUGGGGUUUUAUACAUUAAAAAAUAAUUUCCCAGAUCAGGACACUAUGGUGAAUUGUUUAUAUCUAUUGAUGUAAGCUCACUUUUGAUUUUCAUAAAUUUAGAAUAUGACGUGGAGUUAUUGAAGUUUAUUCUUGAAAAUGUGACGGGCGUAUCAUGCGAUCAUGGCGUAGCCGUUUAUAAUUUUUAAUGUUUUGCUUACUUAUAUAUAUGUUUGUAAUAUAGUAGUACCCUGGUCAAUGGUAGACAAUGGUUUUGGAUUUCAGACCUCGGAAUUGAAACAUUAAUAAAGAAAACAUAUACGAAACUUACAAAACAAUUAAAAACAAUUGACCUUCGAGUAAACUUUCCAUCUUAAAACCAGUUCAUAUACUUUUACAAUCAUUUUAUUUCAUUCCCAACUUCAUCAUGGUUCUAUU
Molecule: long non-coding RNA, 5328 nt
Organism: Mytilus trossulus (common blue mussel)
Lineage: Eukaryota; Metazoa; Mollusca; Bivalvia; Mytilida; Mytilidae
Exons: 4
Source: RefSeq, a predicted model, not a curated record